CUAAUAGCUAAGAGUAGGAAAAGUACUUUAAAAGUAGUUUACAGAGAGUGGAGGUUUGGUGUGACUCCAUAGCGAAGUUUAAAGGAAAAUCACCUAGGAGCUGAAGGCUGAAAAUAGUAAGUCUAUCCGUAAUUCUGCGUUAAAGAAUAGAGUAUGUUAGUACUUGAAAUUAUACAUUAACACUAUAGGUGGUAUAGCGAAUUCAACUUCGUCCUAUUU
This 219-nucleotide non-coding RNA is filed under the name Clostridium sp. Its description in RNAcentral is "T-box sequence". It matches the Rfam family "T-box leader". From Rfam's summary of the family: Uncharged tRNA acts as the effector for transcription antitermination of genes in the T-box leader family. T-boxes are found upstream of many aminoacyl-tRNA synthetase genes and some amino acid biosynthetic genes usually in Gram-positive bacteria. The record is from RNAcentral. Lineage: Bacteria; Bacillati; Bacillota; Clostridia; Eubacteriales; Clostridiaceae.